CGGGCAGUUUCAUCUUUCAUCACGAUAAUGGUCCUCAUCACUUACUUCACGUCAGUGAUGACAAAGUUCUGUUCAUUAAAAACAGAACUGUGUGGCCUCAUCCACCUUGAAUGUAUUCCUCAAUAUUUGUGUUUUUAGAUUCCUGUAUUACUGGAUAUUUAUAUUCCGGCAUAUUGUUGCCUGGUUCCUGCCAUCAUCUCAAGUUUGUCCCACGGUUUCUUUUGUUACAUCAAAGAUUCUACCGCCAAAAAGUUCUACUCUCAGUGGCUGUGUACACAGGCUUUGUGAGGAAAUCUGUCCUCACAUUGGACUUCUAA
RNAcentral lists this long non-coding RNA (317 nucleotides) under Chinchilla lanigera (long-tailed chinchilla). Its description in RNAcentral is "lncRNA (ENSCLAG00000026329.1)". The record is from RNAcentral. Lineage: Eukaryota; Metazoa; Chordata; Mammalia; Rodentia; Chinchillidae.